AGAGUUUGAUCCUGGCUCAGGACGAACGCUGGCGGCGCGCCUAACACAUGCAAGUCGAACGGAGUCAAGAGGAGCUUGCUUUUCUUGACUUAGUGGCGAACGGGUGAGUAACGCGUGAGUAACCUGCCCUGGAGUGGGGGACAACAGUUGGAAACGACUGCUAAUACCGCAUAAGCCCACGAUCCGGCAUCGGAUUGAGGGAAAAGGAUUUAUUCGCUUCAGGAUGGACUCGCGUCCAAUUAGCUAGUUGGUGAGGUAACGGCCCACCAAGGCGACGAUUGGUAGCCGGACUGAGAGGUUGAACGGCCACAUUGGGACUGAGACACGGCCCAGACUCCUACGGGAGGCAGCAGUGGGGGAUAUUGCACAAUGGGGGAAACCCUGAUGCAGCGACGCCGCGUGGAGGAAGAAGGUUUUCGGAUUGUAAACUCCUGUCGUUAGGGACGAUAAUGACGGUACCUAACAAGAAAGCACCGGCUAACUACGUGCCAGCAGCCGCGGUAAAACGUAGGGUGCAAGCGUUGUCCGGAAUUACUGGGUGUAAAGGGAGCGCAGGCGGACCGGCAAGUUGGAAGUGAAAACUAUGGGCUCAACCCAUAAAUUGCUUUCAAAACUGCUGGCCUUGAGUAGUGCAGAGGUAGGUGGAAUUCCCGGUGUAGCGGUGGAAUGCGUAGAUAUCGGGAGGAACACCAGUGGCGAAGGCGACCUACUGGGCACCAACUGACGCUGAGGCUCGAAAGCAUGGGUAGCAAACAGGAUUAGAUACCCUGGUAGUCCAUGCCGUAAACGAUGAUUACUAGGUGUUGGAGGAUUGACCCCUUCAGUGCCGCAGUUAACACAAUAAGUAAUCCACCUGGGGAGUACGACCGCAAGGUUGAAACUCAAAGGAAUUGACGGGGGCCCGCACAAGCAGUGGAGUAUGUGGUUUAAUUCGAAGCAACGCGAAGAACCUUACCAGGUCUUGACAUCCGAUGCAUAGCGCAGAGAUGCGUGAAGUCCUUCGGGACAUCGAGACAGGUGGUGCAUGGUUGUCGUCAGCUCGUGUCGUGAGAUGUUGGGUUAAGUCCCGCAACGAGCGC
This 1079-nucleotide ribosomal RNA is filed under the name gut metagenome. RNAcentral's name for it is "bacterial SSU rRNA". It matches the Rfam family "Bacterial small subunit ribosomal RNA", at positions 8 to 1099 of the family's 1533-position model. The record is from RNAcentral.